This 773-nucleotide ribosomal RNA is filed under the name uncultured bacterium. Its description in RNAcentral is "bacterial SSU rRNA". It matches the Rfam family "Bacterial small subunit ribosomal RNA", at positions 8 to 798 of the family's 1533-position model. The record is from RNAcentral.
AGAGUUUGAUCCUGGCUCAGGACGAACGCUGGCGGCGUGCUUAACACAUGCAAGUCGAACGGAAAGGCCCUUCGGGGUACUCGAGUGGCGAACGGGUGAGUAACACGUGGGUGAUCUGCCCUGCACUUUGGGAUAAGCCUGGGAAACUGGGUCUAAUACCGAAUAUGACCACGCUCUUCAUGGGGUGUGGUGGAAAGCUUUUGCGGUGUGGGAUGGGCCCGCGGCCUAUCAGCUUGUUGGUGGGGUAAUGGCCUACCAAGGCGACGACGGGUAGCCGGCCUGAGAGGGUGACCGGCCACACUGGGACUGAGAUACGGCCCAGACUCCUACGGGAGGCAGCAGUGGGGAAUAUUGCACAAUGGGCGCAAGCCUGAUGCAGCGACGCCGCGUGAGGGAUGACGGCCUUCGGGUUGUAAACCUCUUUCACCAGGGACGAAGCGCAAGUGACGGUACCUGGAGAAGAAGCACCGGCCAACUACGUGCCAGCAGCCGCGGUAAUACGUAGGGUGCGAGCGUUGUCCGGAAUUACUGGGCGUAAAGAGCUCGUAGGUGGUUUGUCGCGUUGUUCGUGAAAACUCACAGCUUAACUGUGGGCGUGCGGGCGAUACGGGCAGACUAGAGUACUGCAGGGGAGACUGGAAUUCCUGAUGUAGCGGUGGAAUGCGCAGAUAUCAGGAGGAACACCGGUGGCGAAGGCGGGUCUCUGGGCAGUAACUGACGCUGAGGAGCGAAAGCGUGGGGAGCGAACAGGAUUAGAUACCCUGGUAGUCCAA